UACGAAGGGGGCUAGCGUUGCUCGGAAUUACUGGGCGUAAAGGGCGCGUAGGCGGAUAGUUUAGUCAGAGGUGAAAGCCCAGGGCUCAACCUUGGAACUGCCUUUGAUACUGGCUAUCUUGAGUACGGGAGAGGUGAGUGGAACUCCGAGUGUAGAGGUGAAAUUCGUAGAUAUUCGGAAGAACACCAGUGGCGAAGGCGACUCACUGGCCCGUUACUGACGCUGAGGCGCGAAAGCGUGGGGAGCAAACAGG
RNAcentral lists this ribosomal RNA (253 nucleotides) under uncultured bacterium. RNAcentral describes it as "partial 16S ribosomal RNA". It matches the Rfam family "Bacterial small subunit ribosomal RNA", at positions 524 to 776 of the family's 1533-position model. RNAcentral also lists the same sequence under 1 other name. The record is from RNAcentral.